GAAGUGCGAAAAGUGUCAUGACUUGCAGAUUCCCGAGAGCUGACAAACUUCUGAAUGCAAAUGGCGGCCGUCAAAAACGGCCAUGUAUGGCAGAGUGUAGUUGUUCAGACUAAUCACCCCCUUUUCAUCAUACGUUGGUGGCCAGGACAGGUAUCUGCGUUUACUAGCUCUUUGGCCUUCACGGGUCAAAGGGAGUGAACGUGAAACAUCGGGCCCUUCAUUCCAGUAGGGAAACCUACUGGGAUGGGGUGACUUCGGAACAAUAUUAUUUUUUUACUCUUUUUGCGCAAGCAAAAAUGGGUAAAGAGAUAAUAGCGAUUUGAAGUUACAGCGCUCGCGAAUAUAGGUAAUCUACCUCUGCCAUGCAGGAGAACCCGCUGAACUUAA
This 387-nucleotide unclassified non-coding RNA is filed under the name uncultured fungus. RNAcentral describes it as "sequence contains ITS1". The stretch from base 1 to 100 matches the Rfam family "5.8S ribosomal RNA", at positions 50 to 154 of the family's 154-position model. The record is from RNAcentral. Lineage: Eukaryota; Fungi.